RNAcentral lists this ribosomal RNA (235 nucleotides) under uncultured bacterium. Its description in RNAcentral is "partial 16S ribosomal RNA". It matches the Rfam family "Bacterial small subunit ribosomal RNA", at positions 15 to 240 of the family's 1533-position model. The record is from RNAcentral.
GAUCAUGGCUCAGGAUGAACGCUAGCGACAGGCUUAACACAUGCAAGUCGAGGGGCAGCAUAAUUUGUAGCAAUACAGAUUGAUGGCGACCGGCGCACGGGUGAGUAACGCGUAUGCAACUUACCUAUCAGAGGGGGAUAGCCCGGCGAAAGUCGGAUUAAUACCCCAUAAAACAGGGGUCCCGCAUGGGAAUAUUUGUUAAAGAUUCAUCGCUGAUAGAUAGGCAUGCGUUCCA